ACUUAGGGCCGGCUCAACAUUAUU
RNAcentral lists this non-coding RNA (24 nucleotides) under Arabidopsis thaliana (thale cress). Lineage: Eukaryota; Viridiplantae; Streptophyta; Magnoliopsida; Brassicales; Brassicaceae. The record is from RNAcentral.